Molecule: unclassified non-coding RNA, 642 nt
Filed under: Hevea brasiliensis (rubber tree)
Lineage: Eukaryota; Viridiplantae; Streptophyta; Magnoliopsida; Malpighiales; Euphorbiaceae
Source: RNAcentral
GGAAAAUGAAAAAUCUGGAACAUCAUACAGAAAACUCCAAGAACAGCACAAUUGUGUGCAUUUUCAUGCUAAAGCCCUACGACCCCAAAACUACUGCUCCUUACUACAUGAGCUAAAGUCGACCAUCCCAUCUCCUUCUAUCAUGGGACACAUAUUUCAUCCUAGCCACCUACAAGUUGAAUAUGAACCUUAGCUGAAAUUAAUAGAGAUAACUAGACAUCCAUCUUUUUCAUUAAGAUCCUACUAGUGUCCAACCAAAGCGUCAGAUCAAUAGAAUUGGUGAGGCCCAAUAUGCAUGGAAUCCCACACAAAACCUUUUCAUGCUGUAAGGACAGACACUAAAAUUAGGUUCCACCAUUAACAAUGAUGAUAAAUAGAUUGUGGCGCAACCAUUUUUUCUAAAAGCAGAAAAAAAUUUUUAUGCUAUCUGCAGAAUAGCAAGCAAGCAAUUUUAUGUUAUAAUUUUAGAAAUACGAGGAAACCUCAUAAUGUACAAAUGGGCGGAUGGGGGUAGAUAGGUUUUGAAAAUAUGAGUAUAACCAAAUCUGCACAAAUGGGUAGAUGGGGGUAGAUAUGCAGAAAAAUGCGUGAAUGUACAUAUGAAGAGAGUAGGGGGGUUAGAAGGGAGGGGAGAGAGUUUCU